UAAUACAGAGGGUGCGAGCGUUAAUCGGAAUUACUGGGCGUAAAGGGUGUGUAGGUGGUUGAAUAAGUUAGGUGUGAAAUUCCUGGGCUUAACCUGGGACAGUCGCUUAAUACUGUUUAGCUAGAGUACUAGAGAGGAUAGUGGAAUUUCCAGUGUAGCGGUGAAAUGCGUAGAUAUUGGAAGGAACAUCAGUGGCGAAGGCGACUAUCUGGAUAGAUACUGACACUGAAACACGAAAGCAUGGGGAGCAAACAGGAUUAGAUACCCUGGUAGUCCAUGCUGUAAACGAUGAGAACUUGCUGUUUGGUACGUAGAAGUACUAAGUAGCGAAGCAAACGCGAUAAGUUCUCCGCCUGGGGAGUACGGCCGCAAGGUUA
This 377-nucleotide ribosomal RNA is filed under the name uncultured bacterium. RNAcentral describes it as "bacterial SSU rRNA". It matches the Rfam family "Bacterial small subunit ribosomal RNA", at positions 521 to 896 of the family's 1533-position model. The record is from RNAcentral.